RNAcentral lists this ribosomal RNA (450 nucleotides) under uncultured bacterium. Its description in RNAcentral is "partial 16S ribosomal RNA". It matches the Rfam family "Bacterial small subunit ribosomal RNA", at positions 354 to 796 of the family's 1533-position model. The record is from RNAcentral.
GUGGGGAAUAUUGGACAAUGGGCGCAAGCCUGAUCCAGCAAUGCCGCGUGGGUGAAGAAGGCCUUCGGGUUGUAAAGCCCUUUUGUUGGGAAAGAAAUCCUGUCGAUUAAUACUCGGUGGGGAUGACGGUACCCAAAGAAUAAGCACCGGCUAACUUCGUGCCAGCAGCCGCGGUAAUACGAAGGGUGCAAGCGUUACUCGGAAUUACUGGGCGUAAAGCGUGCGUAGGUGGUGGUUUAAGUCUGCUGUGAAAGCCCUGGGCUCAACCUGGGAAUUGCAGUGGAUACUGGAUCACUAGAGUGUGGUAGAGGGAUGCGGAAUUUCUGGUGUAGCAGUGAAAUGCGUAGAGAUCAGAAGGAACAUCCGUGGCGAAGGCGGCAUCCUGGGCCAACACUGACACUGAGGCACGAAAGCGUGGGGAGCAAACAGGAUUAGAUACCCCAGUAGUCC